UUAAUAGUAAAAUAUAUUUAUUGGCAUUAUUCGAAUACAUUGCACACAGAUCUACCCAUUAUGUCUUUUCAAAAUUUUAACAUUUUGAUCAGUAUCACAAUGACUUUAUCUCUUUUGUCCUGAGUAACCUGUGCUGUUUAUUAAAAUAGAAAUCACUUAUUCAGUGUACAAUUUUAAGGUACAAAAAAGAGUGAACUUACAUAUACAGUGUUAUUUUUUUAAAUAUGAGUUUAAAAUUUACAGAUAUUGAUAACAUGGAUAUUGUAAGAUAUUGUAACAUUGCUGAAGUGAAACAUAAUUACAGUAUAUUUGUUAAAAUGCUAAAUGCUAUAAAAGAGUGUUCAUGAAUCAUGCUGCUCAAAGUCAAAGUCUGAUCUCAGAGGUAUAUCACAAUGCAUCAUUGAAGAAUAUUCACAUGAAAUGUCAAAUAAUGCACAUUUAAAAACAUUAGAUGGAUUACAAUAAUAAAAAAAAAUCAAUCUUUUUAUUAGAAAACAAAAUCCUUAACAGUUAGAUUAGCUACUGCACUGAAGGCAGGCUCUCCCGGUAGGAACUUCCCUAGAACGUAUGACAACAGCAUCUAUGGACACACACACACAAAGAAUUUAAAUGUUAAUCUGGAUGUACAUUUCAAAAUGGAUUUUAACUGCAUAAUCUCAUCUUGAGUCCUUACAUAAACAAGUUUCUUGUUCUCCUCUGUGUCCUGGAAGAUCUUGAACAAAGUUUCAACUUCAGUCUUCUUGAGGAUUAAAGAGUUUGAAUCUAAAACCACCACAACAAUUACUGCAUAUUGACAGAGCACUUAUAAAGCCAUCGACGAAGUCAGACUGUAAGCCUUCAGUAUGGUCCAUGUCUGAGAUUGAGAUAUCACUGGAGUGUCCUAAAGGACUGACUAAUUUUGAUCUAUUAACAAAGACAUCUAAACUUUCAGCAAGACUCUCCUGUCCAUCUGAAACCACAUCCUGUUCAUCAGAGGUCUGAUCUUCCAUAUCUGUUUCUCUAUUUCUGAAGGUUUCAGUCUCUUCACGAGGAUUACAAAACCUAAUGUUUGUAGCUAUUGGCCCUUCUACAAUGCCCUCCUUUGGCUCUUCAUCUGUGUCGAUGCAGGCUGGCAGUGCUGUUGGUCCACCUCCUGCUUCAUCGAGCUUAUCAUCUCCUCUGGGGUUAUGGGACUGGGAAAAAAACAUAAUAUCACCAGAGGGUGGCAGUAUCCUCAAUAAUUGACCUUGUGCUGAAGCUAAAGCAGCUGUGCAAUGGGACACAAGAACUGGAAUACAGGCUGAGUCUGACCAAGUUGUGCAUCAGAAACCAGCUCCUGGUGGGAAAUGAGAGGAAAACAUUGCCAGACCGAACUUCCUCUGCUUCAUCUGUCAAUCUGUGGAAUUUGUGGAAACCCGAAUGAGGCCACCAAAUGAGAUUAAUAUGAUAAAUAUGCUUAAACUAUGUUUUUGAUAUGACUUACACUUCUUCUUCUUCUUCUUCACUUCCUACGGACGAUGGUGUGCCUUCCCUAUCUGAGUUUAGCAGGUCUCCUGUUGAUCUUUUAGAGGUUACUCUAUCCAGUUGCAAAACUACCAUCUGAUUCAAGUUGUCUGAAUUACAGAGGCAUGUCACGAGCACAUCAAGAGCUAGAGAUGGACAACAGGACGAAAAAAGAAUCAGUGUAUUAGUAGAAAACACACAAUACAAUAAGAACAGCACA
Cyprinus carpio carpio is the source of this 1702-nucleotide long non-coding RNA. NCBI's taxonomy places the organism in Eukaryota, Metazoa, Chordata, Actinopteri, Cypriniformes, Cyprinidae. The record is from Ensembl.